This 313-nucleotide long non-coding RNA is filed under the name Theobroma cacao (cacao). Its description in RNAcentral is "long non-coding RNA (TCAC_LNC002819)". The record is from RNAcentral. Lineage: Eukaryota; Viridiplantae; Streptophyta; Magnoliopsida; Malvales; Malvaceae.
UUUCAACCAUGAAUUGAACAGUUAGAACUUUCUCAAAAUAUCUUUGUGGGAUCCCUUCACAUGCCACUGUUAACACAUGCCUUAAAUGAUCCACUUCCAGGACCCAAAAGAGAAAAGGAGCCAGGUCUGUGCAUUUUGAUUUGCUGAUAGUUUGCUGUUCUGAAUAUAGCUAUAAUGGCUUUUUUAUGACGGUUAAGAAACAUUUGUCCAUUUCUCAGGUUUCUUGGCUUCUCCAUAUAUAGUGAUGGUGUCAUUACUAAGCAAAUUCAUUUUGGAGAGAAAUCCAUUGAAUGGCACAUGGAAUUAAUCGGUG